Molecule: ribosomal RNA, 563 nt
Filed under: Craugastor laevissimus
Lineage: Eukaryota; Metazoa; Chordata; Amphibia; Anura; Craugastoridae
Description: partial 16S ribosomal RNA
Rfam family: Bacterial large subunit ribosomal RNA
Source: RNAcentral
CGCCUCUUGACUCCCCAUAAGAGGUCCAGCCUGCCCAGUGACCCACGUUCAACGGCCGCGGUAUCCUAACCACGCGAAGGUAGCAUAAUCAAUUGUCUCCUAAAUAGAGACUUGUAUGAAUGGCAUCACGAGGAUUUAACUGUCUCCCCUCUCUAAUCUGUGAAACUAAUCCCCCUGUGAAAAAGCAGGACUGUCCCCAUAAGACGAGAAGACCCUGUGGAACUUUAAACACAUAGCAGCUGCUCCCCUCCAACCCCCUCCCCCGGAAUCCCCACUCCACGAGCAUUCUAGCUAAAGUUUUCAGUUGGGGUGACUAUGGAGAAAAACCCAUCCUCCAUGAUGCAAACCAAAUUCAAAACCACAAGCUACAGCUUUACGUCUCAGUAAACUGACAUUCAUUGACCCAUGUAAUUGAUCAACGAACCAAGCUACCCCAGGGAUAACAGCGCAAUCCACUUUAAGAGCACAUAUCGACAAGUGGGCUUACGACCUCGAUGUUGGAUCAGGGUAUCCCAGUGGUGCAGCCGCUACUAAAGGUUCGUUUGUUCAACGAUUAAAACCCU